This 11183-nucleotide long non-coding RNA is filed under the name Theobroma cacao (cacao). RNAcentral's name for it is "long non-coding RNA (TCAC_LNC003504)". The record is from RNAcentral. Lineage: Eukaryota; Viridiplantae; Streptophyta; Magnoliopsida; Malvales; Malvaceae.
UGCAAAAAUGCAUCCCUAACCCUAACAUGGGGGCUACUGAAAUAUAAAUAAAUCAGAUAAGGUAAUAGAGUUUAGUAAUCAGAUAUGAAUUACUGAGAUUGGCCUCAAAAUACAGAAAAACGAAAAAAAAAAAACAAAAACAAAAUCAAAAGCAAAAUGUUUUCGAACUUCCAUGUUGAGCACAAAUAGAUAGGACUUGUCCUCAUUUAAGAACCUAAAGGUCUUUAGAUCUAAAAAACAGACAUUGGAUGACAAUUCAAAAUCCAUGGAACAAAAACAAAUUGAAAUACAAAUUGUAAAGCGCAAUAGGAAGAGUCGAUGCAUGAUUGAAACUUAGUUGCUUCUGCCAAUGAUUAAAAGCUUCCAUGCAACAAAUUCAUAUCCUUGAAACUUACUUUUCAGGAAGUCUAAGAGCAGGGUAAAGCUCACGUAAAGCCUGCACAAUUUCUGAACAUGGCAUAGGUCUCUCAACUAAAAGGUAUCUUCCACAAGCUGAAGAAUUCUCAUAUGCUAGUAUAUGUGCGUUUGCAACAUCUCUAACGUCUAUCAAUCUGUAAUUUGUAUUUGGAAAUGUUUCAGCCCCUGCAUCAAAUAAAGGCAAUGUUCAGGAGGAAGAGUUAGGCAGGCUUGUCAGCAGAAACCGGGGAAUAUUAGAGAUUCAGUUAAGUGUUAUCAAUGAAUUGUAUCUGAAGUGAUUACUUUAUAUUUGCAAACAAAACUGCUCAAUAAGAGAAUUAUUCAAGUAUGCUACUUUUUCUUUCUUAAAGUCUUUUUUAUUCUCCUGUAACAAGUAGUCACCAUUUCUAUUGAACACAUAGAAAAUUACAGACCCAAGCAAAGAGACAUACAACUUUAGUUAUUGCAAAAAUGAAAAAAUAAAUGGCAAUGGAGCAGAAUGACAAAGCAUUUUCAACACCAUUAAUUAAAGAAGGUUUUGAACAAGAAAAUAUAACCACUUUGACUAUUGUUACUCAAACAGUCUGAACCCUGAAUUUACACAAAUUUGGCAAGCGCGUAAAUCGUUUGCAAUUUGCCACCUCUUCCUCAGUUUCAUCCAAAUCACCUUUAAAACUCAAACUUUUAAGAAACAAUAAGUGAAUAACCCUUCAUGUAUUGAUGGCUUCACAAUUCCCAUUAUCUGAUAUACAUUUUUUGUGGCACUGCUAAGAAACAUGCUUAGUUCAUACUAUAAGUGUCAGCAGUGUGAAAUGAUCUAUGAACACGCCCUUUUUGUUCAAACUUUAGAAAUUCAUCUUAGACUUAGAACAUUGUUGACUCAAUAUUUCUUUUUUAAAAACAGUUCUUCUUGCAGCUUAUUUUUGAGAUCAUUUAUGCAGUUUUUUCUUGCAUUAAUGUUUGAGUGCUGCUUUUUGGCAUGAAAACAAGAAAUAGUUAAAGCAAAAAGGUAAGCAAGAGAAAUAAAAUCUUAAUUCAGAAUGCAAUAUUCUCUUCUAAGGUCACUUUAUCAGCAAUAAUUGUUAAAAGAACAAUAUCCUGUCUGCUAAAGCUAGUUGGAGAGUACCAUUUAUAAGCUUCAAUAUUGGCUCCACACUUGCAUUAAUGGUCGGCUGUAAAAGAGGUCCAAUCACCAAUCCUGGGUUUACUGUAACCAUGUCAAUUCCAUUAUCUUUUGCAUACUUCCAAGCAGCCUCCUCAGCUAACGUCUUAGAAAGCAUAUACCAAAGCUGAUGACAAACAAAAGAAAAAAAUGAUAUACAAAAGAUUAUGUCAUGCCUGAACAUUGUCCUUUCUGCAGCAAUAAGGAAGAAAUUGAGCAAGUAAUUCUUUUGUUAAAAGAAGAAUGAAAUUAAGCAUCAUAUCACAAUCUUUAACCCUCAAUUCCCCCAGAAUGAAAAUCAUAAUAGAAGCAGGACAGGAAAAAGGAGCUAAUAAUCAAAGGGUUGCAGUUAGACCAGAAGAAUAAAAUAAUUCUUUAAUGCAUACAAAGGAAAAAAUACGGUCAAGAUAUUUGAAUUUAAGCAUUUCAAUAAUGAUGCUUGCUUUCAGGCUUUGCCAAUUUUCAGAUCCAGACACAGAUAAUAAACAGUAAAGUUCCUAAAACCUAGCAAGCAUAAGUCAGACAUCUUGCACUAGGAACCCUGAACUAAUAAACCUACUACUUUAUAGAAAGACAAUUGAUGAGCCAGUGGAUAAAAGGCAAGGAAUAAAAAAGAACAAAAGGAAAUGUGUACGUAUGAUUUCAAAAAAAUACAAGACUAGAUCCAAGCUCUUGUUUAAAUAAGCAGCAUCACAUUAUUUGGUAAUUUAAUAAAAUAAUACACUUAAAGCUCCUCAUCUUUCAAAUAGAGAUGUAUGUAAUACAAGUUACUACAUUUGCAUACCUUUGAUUUCUCACAAAAAGUGGGAUCAGAGAACCAAGUCUCAUCAACUUUAACAUCAGGGCCCAGAGGCCUUCCAUUAUACACAACAGCUGCAACUGAGGAUGUUAUAACCACCCGUUUAAUAGAUGGAACUUUAGCACAUGACCUAAGAACAUUAAGUGUUCCCUUUACAGCUGGGUCAAUCAUUUCAGCCUGUCACAGAAGUGCCAGAGAAUGCAUCAAUUAUCAGGAUUCUAUUGCACCAUUAAGUAAUUGAAAAUAUGAGCAUCAAAUCUACACGAGCCAAUCAGAACCAAAAUCCAGACAAUAAACGUGUUUGUUUCUUUUCCCAUUCGCAACUUGAUUCAAAAGGCAAGUAAGAUAUGGCUACUGCUUACAGCAAAGAUUUUCAAGAAAAAACAGAGCAAGAUUAAAAGAUUAACAGUUAGUAUAGAUUACAAAUAAGAAAUUCAGAGAACAUAAAUGAGCCUAAAAGCCACAACUUUUAGAAAAGGGUUGUCGGAUACAAGAAUAAACUUGCAGGAGAAACAAUAUUGAACUAUAUAGCAAAUGAGCCGAUUUAAUUACUACCGUUCAUCUGCAAGGACAUUUAAAAACUGCACACAGCCUUUUCAUCGACAUCCAAAAAAAAUCAGCAACCACUUAAAGAUUUAAAAUGUUAAUACUUAAGUGCAAAUAUAUAUAUACACACACUAGACAUGAAAAUAUGCAAUGAGAGAGAAAGAAAAGUACCUGAGGAUCCUUGAUAUUGUGAUAAAAAGGAGAUGCUGUGUGGAAAACUCCUACACAUCCAUCAACUACUGAAUCAAAAGCUCCCUCAUCCAGAAGCUCUGCCUUGAACAAAUGAAGCCUUUCCUUUGCUCCAUCAAGCGCAAGUAAGUGCUCUGUUUUCUUUGGAUCACCUAGAAAUAAGUGUAUGAAACAGUUACUUACAUGGGAAGAUGUAUCUAUCUUGUAACUAGAUUGUAUUAUUCAUCAAUUGCAAAAACUGCUGAUUUACAUAUCCUUCAUAGAGUUCAGCAAUCUACUGAACCUAAAAUCAAAUAUAUAAUAUAUUAGCUGAACCAUGGGUGAUCAAUAAACGAUACUAAUAAAUAGAAUUGCAUUUCAACACAAAGACAUCAAAGAAAGAAUAUGGCAAUACCAAGACAUUACAGACAAAAAAGAAAUUGGGGAAGGGGGAACAGCAUGAAAAUUUUCAGAAGGCCGAUGAUUAAACAUAUCUAAAAGGGACCGAUACACAGAAAGAUCAAUAAUUUUCUUCAAACAAAUAGAGAAAGGCCACUUCUCAAGAAUUAUAAGCAACAGAAGGUUUCUUCAUCCAUAAUUAUAACAACCCAGAUACAUUGCAACAUAGAAAGCCAAAAACUCAUAGUUUUUCACUUCCUUCAUCGAUCAUAAUCACUUUAGAAGAAAAAUCAAAUUUGGGAAAUAAAGUAUCCUAUGAAGUCAAGACAAAGUAAUAUUUGCGAUCAGAUUGUCCAUAACUACUAAAAAGCCUGAAGUUCACAGCUUUCACUUCUUUAACUGCUCAAAAGUCACUUAAAAAUAAAAACAAAUCGAAGCCUAGGCAGCAAAGUAUCCCAUUAAGCCAAGAACCUUAACAUCAAAAACAAACAACUUUAAUGACAAGAAGAAAAUUAUUCAUAAAUUUAAGAUAUACCCAAGAAUUGAAAACAUUAAAAAUGCAAGUGAGCAUUAAGAUUGAACGAUGGAAAAAGGUUAGUAAUUAGUUUAGGUAGUUAGCACUUAGCACCGACUUGGGUCACGAACAGUGGCUUUGACGGUGUAACCACGUUGGAGUAAAAACUUAACCAGCCAUGAGGCUAUGUAACCUGAUGCUCCUGUUACACACACCACCUUGCCUGUUUCACUCAUCUCUCUCUUGUUUCCUGGUGACUGUGAGGCUGAGUGAGGCUCUUAUGUUCCAAUUAUCGAAAAAUCCGGGCCGACAGUUUUGUCCUUUUCUGGUGUACCUUUCCAACGAGAAAAAACAACAUGGAACACGUAAAUAUAAAGGCUUUCAAGGGCAAACUACAAUUGAAUAUUAUGAUUUAUUAUCGUGUUUGAUUGUUGAAAAUAAUUUUAUUGAUAUAUAAUUUUAAAUAAAAAAAAUUAAAAAAUAUUAUAUUUUUAUAUAUAUAUAUGAUUAUUUAUUUUUAUUUUUUAAAAAAGUUUUUUUUUUUUUUUUUUUUUUUUUUUUUUUUUUUUUUUUUUUUUUUUUUUUUUUUUUUUUUUUUUUUUUUUUUUUUUUUUUUUUUUUUUUUUUUUUAUUAUUAUUAUUUUAUUUAUAAUUUAAUAUUAUUAUGAUUAAAAUAUUAAUAAUUUUAAUUAAUUUCCAAAUUUAAAAUAUUAAUUUUAUAAUAUGUAAUUAAAAACUAAAACUUUUUAUUAUAAAUAAUUUUAUUUUUNAAUAUAUACCAAGAGACAAAUAUAAGCAAAAGUUUUCUCUUUUAAUUAAUCAAUUUUUUUCAUUAAAAUUUAAAAAACGUAACAUUUAAUAAUUUAUUAUUAAAAUAUUAAUAUAUUUUUUAUUUUUUCUCUAUUUUUGUAUUUUUUAUUUUUAUUUAUACUUUCAUUAAAAAUUUAAUAUAUUAAUAAUUUAAAAAAGUAAACAUUAUUAUGAUUAAAAUAUUAAAAUAUUGAUUUUUUAUAAUUUAUAAUAAAAUUUUAACUUUUUUAUUUUAAAUUUUUUUUUCUUUUUUUCUUUCUCCUUUUCGAUGUGGCUGGUGUAAUGAAACGCUGAUCAUUCUCUUUUAAUAAUCAUUCUCUUGACAGCUUAAAUGCUAAUCAUGUUGCUGCCUGUUUCCUUUCAAUAAGAUUAAUAACCUCGUGUUUUCAAUGUUCUUUUGAGUUUUGCUAAUUCCUUUGUUCAAUAUUUUAUAUUUGAACAAUAUUAUCAAAGCUCUUAGAAUAUAUAUAAAUAUAUAUUUAUCUCUCUUUGACUUUGCAUUUAAAAAUCGGUUUUCAUGUUUUCUAGUUAUUCUUUCCACUUUCCAGGGAAGCUCAAAGAAAUUCUUAUGUUCUUGCAUAUCAAGAAAGAAUGGAUACCAUAUAUUGAAGACUUGAUGGUUCGAUUAUUAUGUUCACAGCUUGGGACUUGUAUUGAAAAUGGGAAAAUUUACUGUUCUUGGCCUUGUGUUGGCAGUUCUAUGCGUCAUAACAGGAGAAUGUAUUUGUACCGGUGAUUCCCAUUCGGCAAAUUGCUCCAAACCAGACCUAGAAGCUCUUUUUGACUUCGAAAGUGGCCUUAAUGAUCCUGAAAACAGGCUCUCCUCAUGGCAAGGAAGCAACCAUUAUCAGUGGAAUGGAAUUGGGCGCAACAAUAGCACCGGAGCUGUCAUCAUGAUUGAUCUUCAAAAUCCUUACCCUUUAAAUUCUGAAUCUUCAAGCAGGUAUGGUUUUUGGAACUUGAGUGGGGAUAUCAGUCCUUCUUUGCUAAAGCUCAAGUCCUUGCAAUAUUUGGAUUUGAGUUUAAACACCUUCAAUGACAUCUCAAUUCCUGAAUUCCUAGGAUCAUCCUAGAAUUUGCCAUAUCUGAACCUAUCAAAAGCUGGAUUUACUGGUGUAAUUCCAGCAAGUCUUGGAAAUCUUUCUAGCUUGCAGUUUCUUGAUGUUUCUUCUGAAUUUGGGAGCUUAAGCUCGGAUAGUCUUGAAUGGGUGGCUGGUCCUGUUUCUUUAAAACAUCUUGCUAUGAAUGAAGUUGACCUUUCCAUGGUAGGUUCGGGCUUGGUUGGGAUGUUGAGUAGGCUUUCAUUUCUGAAUGAGUUGCACCUUUCAGAAUGUCAGAUCUCUGGUUCCAUUUCAUCUUUCAACCCUGUAAACUUAACUUCCCUUUCUGUUCUAGACCUUAGUUUCAACUCCUUUAGUUCAGGGUUCCCUGACUGGGUAGUGAAUAUUAGUAGCCUUACUUAUGUUGAUUCAAGCUAUUGUGGUCUGGCUGGAAGAAUUCCACUUGGUUUCGGUGAACUACCAAAUUUGCAAUAUCUGAAUCUUGCUGGAAACUCUAAUCUGUCUGCUUGCUGUUAUCAACUUUUGAGGAGAAGUUGGAAGAAGAUAUAAGUUCUCCUUUUUUUUUAUUUGGAAAAAAAAAACUGCUGGUGUGUUUUUUGGAAAAAAAAAAAAAAAAGGAAGAAAAAGCUCCUAUUUGCAGCUUGUUUUUUAGAAAAAUAAGUUAAAUCAAAAUACACUUAAGUAAUUUUUUAUACUUUAUUUUCAUGAUUACAGGUUUCGAGGUUAGAUCUAUGCUCAAGUAUUUUUCAAAUGAUUGUAUAUAAGCUUCAGAUGAAAUGAAAAAGAUAUACCUUCAUUCAGUCGUCUAUUUCUAUUCUCUUAUUUCUUCUUCUCUGUUCUUAGCUUUCUCAAUUUUUCUUCACUUUUCUGAAACAUACAACAUGGAAUCAGAGCUUCUCCACCUAUGACCUUAUUGCUAAAUCCCAUUGUAUAUUCAGUUUUUUGGUCUGUGUGGAAUGUGGUUGAGGUUGGUGGAGAAUGCCUGUCUAACGGCAUUGCAAAUCCAACCCUAGUUCAAAUCAAGCAACACUAUGAAGAAGUCGCAAAGAGGUAUAAGGCACUCUCUUGUCUUCAAUUUGCAAUUUCAGACACCAUAGUUACCAGAACAAUGAAAGUCUGGGAUACUUUGAGAGAAGAAUUUUAGGGAAAUGAUGAACAAAAAUGAUGCAGAUUUUGAAUCUCUCAAGGGAAUUUGAGCUUCUGAAAAUGAAGGAUGGGGAAGGAAUACAAGUUUAUGCUAGUAAGGUCUUGAGGAUUGCUAAUUAACUAAGAUUUCUGGUUCUUUGUCUUCUUUCGUUUGGUGAUGUUUAUGCUGAACACGGGGUGAGGUCAGCAUGGUUUUGACUUUUUGAUUUUGAGAGAUUCUGAGUUCUCCCUUACUGAUCUGAUUGUCUGAAGUGAAGGGCAGGUUGGUAUGGUGAUAUGUGAUCGGUAAGCAUAGGAAACAAAUCUUGGUCUGGUUUCCUGGACUUGCUGAUGAUUCUGCACUCUCCUCCUUAGAAUAGGGUAUUUUGACUGGGUUUGGGGGUCAUUGUUAAUGGAUCCCUCUGACGCUAGUGUAGUGAUUUGUUUUGUGGUCACUAAUAGAUUUUUGGAACCAAGAGGCUGUUUAGGGAACAGAGUUACCUUUUCCCUUUGCUCUUGCUGUUAUGUUACCUUUUUGAUGGGUUAUUCCCAGAAGGAAUGGAAAUUCAUACUAAUCUUAAAAAAAAAACUCUUUACAAGAGUAAUCAAACUAUUAAUUGCAAUUAGGUCUUUAAAGGACUAACCAGAUUUAGGAAAAGCAUCCACCAAACCAAAAUGAACCCCAUUUAGCCUAAUAUAAAUGGAAGAAAAUACAUUCAAAAGUCCUAAAGCUGAAUAAAUAAUAAUUGCAAUAUCUUUGGACUUGUAGCCUGGAUGCAUAAAUCUACUCGCCCACCAACUGGAUCAAGAAACCAGAAAAUAUGAAGGCGAGGAACCAGAUAUGUGUAUUAUGUAUACAUCAUUUAUUCACAAUACAAGAGGCGAUCAAGGAGGCAGCAGAUUCACAUCGCUUGUACUUGAUGAUAUGUAAGCACCAAAAGCUCCUAAGCAUUUUGAAAGGUACAAUCGAAAGAAAUUAGAGAUGGUACAUGACAGUGAUAAGAAUUUAGUACAUUUACACACCUUUGAUUUCUGACAAAUAACGGGAUCUGAGAACCAGGUCUCAUCAAUUACCCCAUUAUCAGCAAGAGGUUUUCCAGUGAACACAACUGCUCCAAGAGAGGACGUUAUAAUCACUCUUUUGAUGGAUGGAACUUUUAACACAUGAUCUAAAAACAUUAAGUGUUCCCUUCACUGCGGGAUCAAUCAUUUCAGCCUGGAAAUAGAAGUGGACCAUUCACCAAAUUAUCAGGAUUCUAGUUUGCCAUUGCUUAAGUAAAAAAUAUCAACAAGUAAAGCCAAAUACUGCUGCCAAUCAGAAUCAAAAUCCAAAUGAUCUACUGUCCUUGUUUCAUGCAUUUAAAAGCCAGCCAAAAUAUUGCUAAUUACAGCAAAGUUUUGUAAGCAAAGCCAGAGCAAGUUUAGAACAUGAACAGUAAGUACAAAGUGCCAGAUGAAUGUAUACUAAUCAGUGUUAGUAGCAAUUAUAAUUCUCAUAACCAAUUGCAAGCAUUUUCAAGCUUAACUUGAAGUUCUACAGGCAAGACAAAGGAGAAUCACCUGCGGGUUCUCAACAUUGUAAUAACAAGGAGAUGCUGUAUGGAAAACACCUAUGCAUCCAUCAACCACGGAAUCAAAAGCUCCCUCCUCCAGAAGCUCUGCCUUGAACAAAUGAAGCCUUUCAUUUGCUCCAUCAAGUGCAAGCAAGUGUUCCGUUUUCUUCAGAUCAUACAUGCACAGAAAAAGUUGAAUGGAGAAAAAGAUUUACAUUAUAAACAUAGUUUUGUAUUAAAACCAAUUGUCGUAAAUUUUUUAUAGUUUGGAAGAGUUCACCAAAUCUGACCGCUGGUUUAUGGGUGAUUAGUAUCAGAAAAAAUGAACUCAUUUCUAUUUCAUCAAGAAAAGACAUAAUGCUUCAGCUUUAAAUAAUUUAUUUUAGGGCAAAAAGUUGGAAACAAAACCAGCUAGGGAAUCCAUGACUUUGCAUAAAGUUUUUUUUUUUUUUGGUUGCAUCUUAUCUACUUAUCUUAUUUUAUGAAGCUCCAAAGGAUAUCCUAUUUUCUUGCGUAUCAAGAAAAUGCAGACUAUAUAUUGAAGAGGUGGUGGUUUCCUUAUUAUGCUCACAUCUUGAGUUCAAUAACAAUUGUUCCUUGUGUUCGAAAUGGAAAAAUCCAGGGUUCUUGGCCUUAUGUUGGCAGCUCUAUGUGUCAUAACAAGUGAAUAUUCUUGUAAUGGCUCUGAAUCCGACCAUGAAGCUCCCUUUGACCUCGGUAAUGACCUCAAUGAUCCUGAAAACAGGUUCUUAUGAUGGCAAGGAAGCAACUCCUGUCAGUGGCAAGGAAUUGAUUGCAACAAUAAUAAUGGAGCUGUGAUCGUGAUUGAUCCUCGCAAGUGGUACCCUAUAAAUUCUGAAUCUUCAAGCAGGUAUGGUUUUUGGAACUUGACUGGGGAUAUCAGUCCUUCAUUACUAAAACUCAGGUACUUGGAAUACUUAGAUUCAAGUCUGGACACCUUCAACGAGCUGGACUAUAUGGAGUUGCUUCACCAAGUCUUGGUAGUCUUUCUAGCUUGCAGCUUCAUGAUGUCCCUGUGAAUUUUGGAGCUUAAGCUUGGAUGGUCUUUCAUGGGUGGCUAGCUGGCCUUGUUUCUUUAGAACAUCUCGAUGUGAAUGAAGUUGACCUUUCCAUGGUAGGUUCUGGCUUGUUGGUUUGGAUAUGGAAUAAACUGUUUGAAAAAAUUGGCUGGUGCCUGCCAAAAUCCUCAAAUGAAGGAUUAUACCACACUUCAUGGUGCCUCUGGGGAACGCUAUACAGUACCAAAAAGGAGAAUUACCUGUGGAUCCUUCACAUUGUGAUAAAAAGGGAGAAGCCGUAUUGAAAACAAUCCUUCCAUCAACCACAGCAUCAAAAGAACUCACAUCAAGUAGGUCUGCGUUGGAAAAACUGAAGCUUUUCAUUUGCUCCAUCAAGUGCAAGCUAGUGUUCCGUUUUCUGUGGAUCAUGCACGGAAUAAGUUGUAUGGAAGACAUACUUAUCUGUAAGACAUUUUUGUAUUAAAUGGGUAUUAUGUUUUUUAAACUUUGGAUAGAGUUCGAUAUGAGCCAAAGCACACAACUUUCCUCUUGGACAUUCCUUAAAGUUUCUACAUAUGCUUACAUCAUGUCUUCAAGUUCCAACCUAAUCUGGUGAUACAAAAUGAAGGGGGGCAGGGCAACCUUCUCCAAGGACUAAAAGUCAAUAGGCAAUCAACAUGAACAUGUUUAUUGUAUGUAUCCCAACUUACAGCAAACUAUUACAAGCUUACAACUAAACAUUACAAGCACUUGAACAGCUGCCAACACAGCAGAUAUGACAUUCAGAAUGAUGAACUAAAGCUAAAAAGGGGUGCACCCAGUUAUUGAUAGUAAUGUCCUAGACUAGCUGACACAUGCCAUGAUUCAGACGCUAAAGAAGUUCUUCUCCUUCAAGCUUUCAACUGUAUCCUUUAUACUCACCUCCGUAGGGGUAAAAUUAACACCUAGACUUUUCGCUCUGUCCUUGGACACCUGAAACACUGGCAUACCUACCUUCUCAUCCGCACAUCUGCCAAAAUUAUUAGCUCCUGUUAAUAACACUUAAAAAUGGGGGUCAGAGUUGCAAAAAUGCUUCCCUGACACCAACAUGGGGGCUACUGAUAUAGAAAUAAAUCAGACAAGGUAAUAGAGUCUGUAAAUCAGAUCUUAAUUACUGAGAUUGGCCUCCAAAAACAGAAAAAAGAACAAAAGCAAAAGCAAAAAGGUUUAAAACUUUCCUGUUGAGCACAAAUAGAUAGGACAUGUCCUCAUUUAAGAACCUAAAUGUCUUUAGAUGUAGCCUUUCACAAAAAAAAAAGGGGUCUUUAGAUCUAGAAAACAGGCAUUGGAUGACAAUGCAAAAUCCAUGGAACAAAAUGAAUCAAAGUACAAUUUGUAAUGCACAAAAGGAAGAGUUGAUACAUAAUUGAAACUUAGUUUCUUCUGCCGAUGAUCAGAAGCUUACAUGCAACAAAUUCAUAUCCUUGAAACUUACCUUUCAGGAAGUCUAAGAGCAGGGUAAAGCUCACGUAAAGCCUGCACAAUUUCUGAACAGUGCAUAACUCUCUCAACUAAAAGGUAUCUUCCACAAGCUGAAGAAUUCUCAUAUGCUAGUAUAUGUGCGUUUGCAACAUCUCUAACGUCUAUCAAUC